This 433-nucleotide ribosomal RNA is filed under the name uncultured bacterium. RNAcentral's name for it is "partial 16S ribosomal RNA". It matches the Rfam family "Bacterial small subunit ribosomal RNA", at positions 29 to 507 of the family's 1533-position model. The record is from RNAcentral.
AACGAACGCUGGCGGCAUGCCUAACACAUGCAAGUCGAACGAGACCUUCGGGUCUAGUGGCGCACGGGUGCGUAACGCGUGGGAACCUGCCCUUAGGUUCGGAAUAACUCCCCGAAAGGGGUGCUAAUACCGGAUAAUGUCUUCGGACCAAAGAUUUAUCGCCUUUGGAUGGGCCCGCGUUGGAUUAGCUAGUUGGUAGGGUAAAAGCCUACCAAGGCGACGAUCCAUAGCUGGUCUGAGAGGAUGAUCAGCCACACUGGGACUGAGACACGGCCCAGACUCCUACGGGAGGCAGCAGUGGGGAAUAUUGGACAAUGGGCGAAAGCCUGAUCCAGCCAUGCCGCGUGAGUGAUGAAGGCCUUAGGGUUGUAAAGCUCUUUUACCCGGGAUGAUAAUGACAGUACCGGGAGAAUAAGCUCCGGCUAACUCCGUG